Dromiciops gliroides (monito del monte) is the source of this 117-nucleotide small nucleolar RNA. RefSeq annotates it as small nucleolar RNA SNORD67. The record is from RefSeq and is a predicted model, not a curated record. The transcript has a single exon. Lineage: Eukaryota; Metazoa; Chordata; Mammalia; Microbiotheria; Microbiotheriidae.
UGGGAAAGUGUGGAUGAGUUGUACCUUCAUGGACUCGUGGUGUCAGGAGAUGUAGGAACUAGUGAGUAAACACUCUGGUGACAAAAAAAGUGCCAUGGGGCCAGAUUCCUGCUUCCA